This 344-nucleotide unclassified non-coding RNA is filed under the name soil metagenome. Its description in RNAcentral is "partial contains 5.8S ribosomal RNA, internal transcribed spacer 2, and large subunit ribosomal RNA". The stretch from base 1 to 120 matches the Rfam family "5.8S ribosomal RNA", at positions 35 to 154 of the family's 154-position model. The record is from RNAcentral.
GAUGAAGAACUCAGCGAAAUGCGAUAAGUAAUGUGAAUUGCAGAAUUCCGUGAAUCAUCGAAUCUUUGAACGCACAUUGCGCCCUCUGGUAUUCCGGGGGGCAUGCCUGUCCGAGCGUCAUUUGCAACCCUCAAGCCCGGCUUGUGUGAUGGGUGCCGUCCCCUACGGGACGCGCCCCGAAGGCAAUGGCGGCGUCGCGGUUAUCCGAUCAGCCAAAGUGUAUGGGGCUUUGUCACUCACUUUACGGCCCGGACCGGCGCCAGUCCGAAUCAAUCUUUUUUCUAAAGUUGACCUCGGAUCAGGUAGGGAUACCCGCUGAACUUAAGCAUAUCAAUAAGCGGAGA